UCCGUGCAGGCAGGUGCGGUCUGGCACCUCGGGAUCCCAACGGGUGGCCGCCUGCGUGGCUGCCUGCCUCACCUCAGGAGAGACCCUGCUGAUAUCCCACAGUCAGAAAGUGGGAACUACAAUAUCUUUAAUACCAUCCUCAGAGACCCUCAUAAGCAGAAGAGAAGUAUGAGAAAGCUCACAAGGUCCACAGCAAUAUCUUCAUCGCGCCAGAAUGUCAGGGGCUUUAGCACAACAGAAAUCAAUAGUUUCUAGUACAUUUUUUGGUACAAUUUUUUUUUAAUGACCUAACCUGAGAAAGUACAGGGAAGGCAGAGGUACAGAACAGUAGGAAACAAAACCUCCUUAACCGAAGGCCUAUUUAGACAUGUCAUGCAACGUCAGUUUAGGAGAGACGCGUUCUUUAUCUGAGCCACACAACCGGGCAGCUGGAGCGAGGUCUUGGUCCUGGAGUGCUUUCGGUCAUAGAGAUGAGGUCUCCCUGUGUUGCCCAGACUGGACUUGAAC
This 507-nucleotide long non-coding RNA is filed under the name Homo sapiens (human). RNAcentral describes it as "HSALNT0345793". The record is from RNAcentral. Lineage: Eukaryota; Metazoa; Chordata; Mammalia; Primates; Hominidae.